GGCGGCGUGCUUAACACAUGCAAGUCGAACGUGAUUCAGAGCUUGCUCUGAUGAAAGUGGCGCACGGGUGAGUAUCGCGUGGAUAACCUACCCUGGUGUCUGGGAUAACAUCUCGAAAGGGGUGCUAAUACCGGAUAAGCCCACGGGAUCUUCGGAUUCUGCGGGAAAAGGUGGCCUCUAUUUAUAAGCUACCGCAUCAUGAUGGGUCCGCGUACCAUUAGCUAGUUGGUGGGGUAAUGGCCUACCAAGGCUACGAUGGUUAGCUGGUCUGAGAGGAUGAUCAGCCACACUGGAACUGAGACACGGUCCAGACUCCUACGGGAGGCAGCAGUGGGGAAUUUUGCGCAAUGGGGGAAACCCUGACGCAGCAACGCCGCGUGAGUGAUGAAGGCUUUCGGGUCGUAAAGCUCUGUCAGUGGGGAAGAAAUGUGACUGGCUAAUAUCCAGUCAUCUUGACGGUACCCACAAAGGAAGCACCGGCUAACUCC
Molecule: ribosomal RNA, 488 nt
Filed under: uncultured delta proteobacterium
Lineage: Bacteria; Deltaproteobacteria
Description: bacterial SSU rRNA
Rfam family: Bacterial small subunit ribosomal RNA
Source: RNAcentral